UCAAGCUGCCCAGGAUAACGGGGAGGAGGGUGGGGAUGACGUCAAGUCAGCAUGGCCUUUAUGCCUGGGGCCACACACGUGCUACAAUGGCCGGUACAAAGCGCUGCAAACA
This 112-nucleotide ribosomal RNA is filed under the name uncultured Nitrospira sp. RNAcentral describes it as "partial 16S ribosomal RNA". It matches the Rfam family "Bacterial small subunit ribosomal RNA", at positions 1144 to 1255 of the family's 1533-position model. The record is from RNAcentral. Lineage: Bacteria; Pseudomonadati; Nitrospirota; Nitrospiria; Nitrospirales; Nitrospiraceae.